UGGGGAAUAUUGGGCAAUGGGCGAAAGCCUGACCCAGCAACGCCGCGUGAAGGAAGAAGUAUUUCGGUAUGUAAAGCUCUAUCAGCAGGGAAGAAAAUGACGGUACCUGACUAAGAAGCACCGGCUAAAUACGUGCCAGCAGCCGCGGUAAUACGUAUGGUGCAAGCGUUAUCCGGAUUUACUGGGUGUAAAGGGAGCGUAGACGGCUGUGUAAGUCUGAAGUGAAAGCCCGGGGCUCAACCCCGGGACUGCUUUGGAAACUAUGCAGCUAGAGUGUCGGAGAGGUAAGUGGAAUUCCCAGUGUAGCGGUGAAAUGCGUAGAUAUUGGGAGGAACACCAGUGGCGAAGGCGGCUUACUGGACGAUGACUGACGUUGAGGCUCGAAAGCGUGGGGAGC
RNAcentral lists this ribosomal RNA (397 nucleotides) under uncultured Coprococcus sp. RNAcentral's name for it is "bacterial SSU rRNA". It matches the Rfam family "Bacterial small subunit ribosomal RNA", at positions 355 to 769 of the family's 1533-position model. Lineage: Bacteria; Bacillati; Bacillota; Clostridia; Lachnospirales; Lachnospiraceae. The record is from RNAcentral.